Lepisosteus oculatus (spotted gar) is the source of this 100-nucleotide non-coding RNA. It matches the Rfam family "Vault RNA". Rfam says of the family: This family of RNAs are found as part of the enigmatic vault ribonucleoprotein complex. The record is from Rfam. NCBI's taxonomy places the organism in Eukaryota, Metazoa, Chordata, Actinopteri, Semionotiformes, Lepisosteidae.
GCACUGGGUUAGCUCAAUGGUUACUUCAAACUUUGCAAGUUUCUCAUUCCGCGGCCGCAAGGUUGCUGGGUUCGGACCAUGGGCGCUGUCCAGUGUUUUU